Molecule: long non-coding RNA, 221 nt
Filed under: Gossypium raimondii (Peruvian cotton)
Lineage: Eukaryota; Viridiplantae; Streptophyta; Magnoliopsida; Malvales; Malvaceae
Description: long non-coding RNA (GRAI_LNC003190)
Source: RNAcentral
GGUGUAGUGGUGGUUCGGUCGGCUACUGGUGGUGGUGAGGUGGAAGAAAAUGUAGAAAAUGGGUGGUUUAAGAGCUAAAAUGGAAGAAAAAAGAUGCAAAAUUAGAGGGAUAAGAAGGAGGGGCAACAAAGGGAGAGGAGAAGAAACAAAAUGAAAAAAAGAAAAAGAAAAACUAAAGUGAACCUUGUGUCGAGAUGCAAUGGAGACACAAGCUAGUGAAG